Molecule: ribosomal RNA, 397 nt
Filed under: uncultured bacterium
Lineage: Bacteria
Description: partial 16S ribosomal RNA
Rfam family: Bacterial small subunit ribosomal RNA
Source: RNAcentral
AUACGUAGGGGGCGAGCGUUGUCCGGAAUGAUUGGGCGUAAAGGGCGCGUAGGCGGCGCGGUAAGUCUGGAGUGAAAGUCCUGCUUUCAAGGUGGGAAUUGCUUUGGAUACUGCCGCGCUUGAGUGCAGGAGAGGUUAUCGGAAUUCCCGGUGUAGCGGUGAAAUGCGUAGAGAUCGGGAGGAACACCAGUGGCGAAGGCGGGUAACUGGACUGCAACUGAGGCUGAGGCGCGAAAGUGUGGGGAGCAAACAGGAUUAGAUACCCUGGUAGUCCACACUGUAAACGAUGAAUGCUAGGUGUAAGAGGUAUCGACCCCUUUUGUGCCGGAGUCAACACAAUAAGCAUUCCGCCUGGGGAGUACGGCCGCAAGGUUGAAACUCAAAUGAAUUGACGGGG